AAAAGCCGUAUGCCUUAAUAGGGCACGUACGGUUUUGUAGAGGAGCUUGGGCGGUGACGCUCUUGUUUACUCAAG
Molecule: unclassified non-coding RNA, 75 nt
Filed under: Clostridium homopropionicum
Lineage: Bacteria; Bacillati; Bacillota; Clostridia; Eubacteriales; Clostridiaceae
Source: RNAcentral